CCGCACCCCCACUACCACCACUAGCAGCACCACCGCCGCCGAGCCCAGCACCCGCUCAGAUUUCUGUUCACGGCGGCGCCCAGUCGCCCACCCAAUCCCGGCACCCAGUCGCCGCUCCCUCCCCCAGACGCAAUCCCAAUCCCGGCGGCCAGCUCGGAUUUCUGUUCCUGGCGGCGCCGCACUACCCUGCCGUCGGCGGGCUUCCCGUCGGCGAACCUCGGGCCGUCCCCACGAAGGGCUGCGCGGCCGGCCCCCGUCACGCCCCGGCGAGCUGCAACCUCAGGAGAAGCUAGCCCAAUUGCGCCGCUGUACAGCCGAGAAAAACUGGUGCGUGACCACGGUGACCGCUGCGGUGACGGAGUUGUUGGCGGGCGGGGACGGCGGCGUGACCUCGGCGGACGCCGAGUCCUUAUGAUCCCGCAUGGAUGGCUAGGUGCUGGUCUCCGUGUGGGCAGCCUCUCCUUGACUAGCUCUUGGCACGAUGGCGGUAGGUUCGUACCCCAUUUUUCCUGCGGAAGCCUUGAUUUUCCUUGCCAGUUCCCCUUCGGAUCACGGUCGACUGCAACGGAAUCGCAUUUACGGCGUUCUUUCUCAGUGGGGCGUGGUUCCAAUUCCUCCCGUUAUCCAUGGAUUUCUUAGGAUUCAUGAGCUCUCAACACCCCCCCCCCCCAACCGCAAGGUGCCCUCUUUUUUUCUCCCGCAUUUCUGUUGAUUUUGAUUGAUUUACUGCGUUGGUAGGAGGAUCUAUGCAGGUAGUCGAGCAUUAUUGGCCAUCCAUUGUUGCAAUCUCAUAGUCGCCACUUAGGAUUUCUUCUAGUCGGCUGCACCCACAUGGGAUUUAUGCUGUCUCUGCAGGGAUGACGAGAAUGAUUCAGUUGCCGACGCCUAUCCGCAACCAACGAGUUGCAGGAGACUAGCAGGCGCUCGACAAUGUGUUGUGAAGUCCCAGAACUGUCCGCCUCCAAGGCUCCAACAUGAACGCAGUGUGCAGAGCACCUCUGUCGAGAUUUUGGGAGCAGUACGUCUUCUUGCAAACUUCCAGGCGCUGAGAUUGCAAUAUGCAUGCUGGUAAUCUGCACGUGAGAUGGUUGAUUGGCUAGAUAGUUUCUGAUUUCCUUUUUGUUUAUUGUUCUGCCAAAUUGUAAAAACAGGGUCAAUGAAAUAGCAAAAUGCAUUGAGUUUUUAUGAACUCUUAUUGUGUGCUCGGUUUAAAUAUGGUGAAUGGAAUUGCAAAAUGUACUCAGUUUUAGAUUGAAAUUGAGAUCAAUCAAUCACAAAA
Molecule: long non-coding RNA, 1279 nt
Organism: Panicum virgatum (switchgrass)
Lineage: Eukaryota; Viridiplantae; Streptophyta; Magnoliopsida; Poales; Poaceae
Exons: 2
Source: RefSeq, a predicted model, not a curated record